Molecule: transfer RNA, 81 nt
Filed under: Paragonimus westermani
Lineage: Eukaryota; Metazoa; Platyhelminthes; Trematoda; Plagiorchiida; Troglotrematidae
Description: tRNA-Asn
Rfam family: tRNA
About the family: Transfer RNA (tRNA) molecules are approximately 80 nucleotides in length. Their secondary structure includes four short double-helical elements and three loops (D, anti-codon, and T loops).
Source: RNAcentral
GGCUUCUUAGCUCAGCUGGUAGAGCGCUUGCCGUGUUGAGGCAUGCCGUGUCUGUCGCUGGUUCGAAUCCAGCUGAAGCCC